Molecule: ribosomal RNA, 57 nt
Filed under: Plasmodium knowlesi strain H
Lineage: Eukaryota; Apicomplexa; Aconoidasida; Haemosporida; Plasmodiidae
Description: Plasmodium knowlesi rRNA PKNH_MIT02900
Source: RNAcentral
GCGAAAAAACCUAGAACAUUAUAACAGGUGAUUAUAUUCUGGUAGUGGAAGUACGAA